GUGGGGAAUAUUGGACAAUGGGCGAAAGCCUGAUCCAGCCAUGCCGCGUGUGUGAAGAAGGUCUUCGGAUUGUAAAGCACUUUAAGUUGGGAGGAAGGGCAGUAAGUUAAUACCUUGCUGUUUUGACGUUACCGACAGAAUAAGCACCGGCUAACUCUGUGCCAGCAGCCGCGGUAAUACAGAGGGUGCAAGCGUUAAUCGGAAUUACUGGGCGUAAAGCGCGCGUCGGUGGUUCGUUAAGUUGGAUGUGAAAGCCCCGGGCUCAACCUGGGAACGGCAUCCAAAACUGGCGAGCUAGAGUACGGUAGAGGGUGGUGGAAUUUCCUGUGUAGCGGUGAAAUGCGUAGAUAUAGGAAGGAACACCAGUGGCGAAGGCGACCACCUGGACUGAUACUGACACUGAGGUGCGAAAGCGUGGGGAGCAAACAGGAUUAGAUACCCGAGUAGUCC
RNAcentral lists this ribosomal RNA (450 nucleotides) under uncultured bacterium. RNAcentral describes it as "partial 16S ribosomal RNA". It matches the Rfam family "Bacterial small subunit ribosomal RNA", at positions 354 to 796 of the family's 1533-position model. The record is from RNAcentral.